Molecule: ribosomal RNA, 301 nt
Filed under: uncultured bacterium
Lineage: Bacteria
Description: partial 16S ribosomal RNA
Rfam family: Bacterial small subunit ribosomal RNA
Source: RNAcentral
CAGUAGCCGCGGGAAUACGGAGGGUGCAAGCGUUAAUCGGAAUUACUGGGCGUAAAGCGCACGCAGGCGGUUUGUUAAGUCGGAUGUGAAAUCCCUGAGCUUAACUUGGGAACUGCAUUUGAAACUGGCAAGCUAGAGUAUGGGAGAGGGGGGUAGAAUUCCAGGUGUAGCGGUGAAAUGCGUAGAGAUCUGGAGGAAUACCGAUGGCGAAGGCGGCCAGCUGGACAAAGACUGACGCUCAGGUACGAAAGCGUGGGGAGCAAACAGGAUUAGAUACCCGCGUAGUCCCUGUCUCUUAUAC